AGCGAACGCUGGCGGCGGGCUUAACACAUGCAAGUAGAGCGGGGAAUUCGGUGUCAGCGGCAGACGGGAGGGUAACACGUGGGAACGUACACUUUGGUUUGGCAUAACGUUGGGCGACUGGUGAUAAUACCGGAUACGCCCUUUUAGGGCAAGGCUUGCUGGCGAAGGAUCGGUUUACGUCUUAUUAGCAAGUUGGCGAGGUAAUGGUCUACCAAGGCGACGUUAAGUAGCUGGUCUGAUAGGAUGACCCGUCACCCUGGGAAAGGGACACGGCGCAGACUCCUGCGGGAGGCAGCAAUGGUGAAUAUUGAACGAUGGGCGCGAGCCGGAGCCUGCCGUGCCGCGUAGGUGUUGAAGGCCUUAGGAUUGUAAGUCUCUGUUGUCCGGGACGAUAAUGACGGUACCGUAAGAAUAAGCGCCGGCUAACUUCGUG
Molecule: ribosomal RNA, 433 nt
Filed under: uncultured bacterium
Lineage: Bacteria
Description: partial 16S ribosomal RNA
Rfam family: Bacterial small subunit ribosomal RNA
Source: RNAcentral